RNAcentral lists this transfer RNA (93 nucleotides) under Streptococcus gordonii. RNAcentral's name for it is "tRNA-Phe". The stretch from base 9 to 86 matches the Rfam family "tRNA", at positions 8 to 63 of the family's 71-position model. Rfam says of the family: Transfer RNA (tRNA) molecules are approximately 80 nucleotides in length. Their secondary structure includes four short double-helical elements and three loops (D, anti-codon, and T loops). The record is from RNAcentral. Lineage: Bacteria; Bacillati; Bacillota; Bacilli; Lactobacillales; Streptococcaceae.
AGGCUCGGUAGCUCAGUUGGUAGAGCAAUGGAUUGAAGCUCCAUGUGUCGGCGGUUCGAUUCCUGGCGCGGGGGUUCGAAUCCCCCAUUCUCC